RNAcentral lists this small RNA (1317 nucleotides) under Pan troglodytes (chimpanzee). RNAcentral describes it as "processed transcript". Lineage: Eukaryota; Metazoa; Chordata; Mammalia; Primates; Hominidae. The record is from RNAcentral.
AUGACGUAAUUUUCCUGCGCCUCGGGACGAGCGGCGGCGCGCAAGGAAAAAUCGGGUUCCGUUUUUCCCGCGGAUUCUGGUGCCUGUGGGGCCGCUGACCCAACACCAUGAAGGAAACGCCACUCUCAAACUGCGAACGCCGCUUCCUACUCCGUGCCAUCGAAGAGAAGAAGCGGCUGGAUGGCAGACAAACCUAUGAUUAUAGGAACAUCAGGAUCUCAUUUGGAACAGAUUACGGAUGCUGCAUUGUGGAACUUGGAAAAACAAGAGUUCUUGGACAGGUUUCCUGUGAACUUGUGUCUCCAAAACUCAAUCGGGCAACAGAAGGUAUUCUUUUUUUUAACCUUGAACUCUCUCAGAUGGCGGCUCCAGCUUUCGAACCUGGCAGGCAGUCAGAUCUCUUGGUGAAGUUGAAUCGACUCUUGGAAAGAUGUCUAAGAAAUUCGAAGUGUAUAGACACUGAGUCUCUCUGUGUUGUUGCUGGUGAAAAGGUUUGGCAAAUACGUGUAGACCUACAUUUAUUAAAUCAUGAUGGAAAUAUUAUUGAUGCUGCCAGCAUUGCUGCAAUCGUGGCCUUAUGUCAUUUUCGAAGACCUGAUGUCUCUGUCCAAGGAGAUGAAGUAACACUGUAUACACCUGAAGAGCGUGAUCCUGUACCAUUAAGUAUCCACCACAUGCCCAUUUGUGUCAGUUUUGCCUUUUUCCAGCAAGGAACAUAUUUAUUGGUGGAUCCCAAUGAACGAGAAGAACGUGUGAUGGAUGGCUUGCUGGUGAUUGCCAUGAACAAACAUCGAGAGAUUUGUACUAUCCAGUCCAGUGGUGGGAUAAUGCUACUAAAAGAUCAAGUUCUGAGAUGCAGUAAAAUCGCUGGUGUGAAAGUAGCAGAAAUUACAGAGCUAAUAUUGAAAGCUUUGGAGAAUGACCAAAAAGUAAGGAAAGAAGGUGGAAAGUUUGGUUUUGCAGAGUCUAUAGCAAAUCAAAGGAUCACAGCAUUUAAAAUGGAAAAGGCCCCUAUUGAUACCUCGGAUGUAGAAGAAAAAGCAGAAGAAAUCAUUGCUGAAGCAGAACCUCCUUCAGAAGUUGUUUCUACACCUGUGCUAUGGACUCCUGGAACUGCCCAAAUUGGAGAGGGAGUAGAAAACUCCUGGGGUGAUCUUGAAGACUCUGAGAAGGAAGAUGAUGAAGGCGGUGGUGAUCAAGCUAUCAUUCUUGAUAGUAUAAAAAUGGACACUGGAGUAGAAGUCUCUGAUAUUGGAAGCCAAGUGUAUUCUUCUAACAGUGAAUAGUAUUUUCAACUGAAUAUAAUGAAGGUGGACC